GCUGGGCUCGGUGGUGCACGCCUGUAAUCCCAGUGGCUCAGGAGGCUGAGACAGAAGGAUCGUGAGUUCAAAGCCAGCCUCAGCAACUUUCUUGAUGUCCCGAGAAACUUGGAGAAACCCUGUCUCUA
Molecule: small RNA, 128 nt
Filed under: Marmota monax (woodchuck)
Lineage: Eukaryota; Metazoa; Chordata; Mammalia; Rodentia; Sciuridae
Source: RNAcentral